This 20-nucleotide non-coding RNA is filed under the name Arabidopsis thaliana (thale cress). The record is from RNAcentral. Lineage: Eukaryota; Viridiplantae; Streptophyta; Magnoliopsida; Brassicales; Brassicaceae.
UGGUUAUCGAGAUUAUGUGU